CCCAUCAGCCCGUCGGAUAGAUGGAGCCUUUGGCGUUCUCAUUGUGAGACUUACGUUACUACCGAUUGAAUGGCACGCAAUAACAGGUCUGUGAUGCCCUUAGAUGUUCUGGGCCGCACGCGCGCUACACUGACAGAGCCAGCGAGUUUAUAACCUUGGCCGGAAGGUCUGGGUAAUCUUGUGAAACUCUGUCGUGCUGGGGAUAGAGCAUUGCAAUUCUUGCUCUUCAACGAGGAAUUCCUAGUAAGCGUGAGUCAUCAGCUCGCGUUGAUUACGUCCCUGCCCUUUGUACACACCGCCCGUCGCUACUACCAUUUGAAUGGCUAAAA
RNAcentral lists this ribosomal RNA (329 nucleotides) under fungal sp. RNAcentral describes it as "SSU rRNA". It matches the Rfam family "Eukaryotic small subunit ribosomal RNA", at positions 1371 to 1702 of the family's 1831-position model. Lineage: Eukaryota; Fungi. The record is from RNAcentral.